GUCUCCAUCCCAAGGCCAUCAACCAGUCGGUUGAGGCCAGUCCCAUUAUCAUCAGAAGAAUGACUAUCACGCCACAUAUAAACGCUAUCACCUGGAAAUUUAAAUCAAAGUGGUUGUUAGGAUGCAGUAGUUUGUAAAAUGUCCAACAAAAAAAUGAUAAAAAAUAUGGAUAAGACGGUAAAAUUUGAUUAGAUAAAAAACAAGAAUGCAGUAUUUGAAAAGAGGGCGUUCUAUAUGAAUAAUAUACACCCAAAUGAAGAAUGAAGUUUCGAAA
Athalia rosae (coleseed sawfly) is the source of this 274-nucleotide long non-coding RNA. RefSeq lists it as uncharacterized. Lineage: Eukaryota; Metazoa; Arthropoda; Insecta; Hymenoptera; Athaliidae. The transcript has 2 exons. The record is from RefSeq and is a predicted model, not a curated record.